GAUGAACGCUAGCUACAGGCUUAACACAUGCAAGUCGAGGGGCAGCAUGGUCUUAGCUUGCUAAGGCCGAUGGCGACCGGCGCACGGGUGAGUAACACGUAUCCAACCUGCCGUCUACUCUUGGACAGCCUUCUGAAAGGAAGAUUAAUACAAGAUGGCAUCAUGAGUCCGCAUGUUCACAUGAUUAAAGGUAUUCCGGUAGACGAUGGGGAUGCGUUCCAUUAGAUAGUAGGCGGGGUAACGGCCCACCUAGUCUUCGAUGGAUAGGGGUUCUGAGAGGAAGGUCCCCCACAUUGGAACUGAGACACGGUCCAAACUCCUACGGGAGGCAGCAGUGAGGAAUAUUGGUCAAUGGGCGAGAGCCUGAACCAGCCAAGUAGCGUGAAGGAUGACUGCCCUAUGGGUUGUAAACUUCUUUUAUAAAGGAAUAAAGUCGGGUAUGGAUACCCGUUUGCAUGUACUUUAUGAAUAAGGAUCGGCUAACUCCGUGCCAGCAGCCGCGGUAAUACGGAGGAUCCGAGCGUUAUCCGGAUUUAUUGGGUUUAAAGGGAGCGUAGAUGGAUGUUUAAGUCAGUUGUGAAAGUUUGCGGCUCAACCGUAAAAUUGCAGUUGAUACUGGAUAUCUU
RNAcentral lists this ribosomal RNA (626 nucleotides) under uncultured Bacteroides sp. RNAcentral's name for it is "bacterial SSU rRNA". It matches the Rfam family "Bacterial small subunit ribosomal RNA", at positions 28 to 643 of the family's 1533-position model. Lineage: Bacteria; Pseudomonadati; Bacteroidota; Bacteroidia; Bacteroidales; Bacteroidaceae. The record is from RNAcentral.